UUAAUUUGGAAUUGUUUUUAAAUGUUCUUUAGGAACUUCAGACAUAAGCUUAUGCUUGCAUUACCACAAGAAACCACCUGCCAUGAAAAAUAAUUCCCUGUGGAACUUCUGUCAUAAUUUUGAAACAAAAGUCAUUUGAGUUUAUACUGAUUUAUUACAUUUUAGAUAAAAACUUUUACAUGGAGAGAGUUGUAACGCCACCGAUUCGACCAAUCAGGGUUAAGCUAGGAGUCCUAUGAUGCGAGGCCAUAAACAGAGGGGCGUUUGAAUGGUUGUCAAGGCUGUACAUGCAGAUUUUAUAAAGAAAAAACAGAUAUUUAGUGCAUGUCACAAUAUCUGAAGACCAGGGUGUGCAGGCUGUGGGACAAACAGUGACAUCUACAAUAUCUGCAACGUUAAAGUGCUGGCAAUUGCAGAUACAUCAGAGACCAAAGAUUUGGAAUUUUGGAAAACAUUGAGCCGGAAGGUGUAUGCCUCCAGAACCGUAGACCUGGCCAUGCUCAAGACGGGAAGACUUGAAAGUGCCUCAAAAAGAAAAG
Long non-coding RNA from Megalobrama amblycephala (Wuchang bream), 539 nucleotides. RefSeq lists it as uncharacterized. The record is from RefSeq and is a predicted model, not a curated record. The transcript has 3 exons. NCBI's taxonomy places the organism in Eukaryota, Metazoa, Chordata, Actinopteri, Cypriniformes, Xenocyprididae.